AGCAAGCAGUCACUUAUUUACACAUCUAGGAGAUACGGAGUAACAUCGGCAUUGAUUUGGAGCCAUGUUUGUGUCCAUCUGAUGAACAAAUCAUCUCACAACCCCUCAGAUUCAUCCAGUGACCCCUUGUUGGACUUUGGACCCCAGCCACUGUCCUCGGAUGUCUGCUAAGAAGCCAUCAAAGAGGACUACACUCAUCAUGUCUUGAAGAUCUUUAUCGUCCAUGGAUAAGUAGCACAGGAAGGCCACACCCCUGCCCUUGUGUCGAUAAUCAUUGAGGGAAAAGACGUUCUUGACUGUAAAAGUGUGGCAAGAGCAUGCCUUCUGCUCAUGGACUUUAUCGAUGCAAUGAACUUGGUUUACCCACUAAAAUUGAAAUACACAUUCAAAGUGUUUCAGAAGCUCUUUCUUGAGCUUGAUGUCCUGAAGAUGAAGAUAUCUCCCAAAGUACAGUCUUUGCACAACAACCUUCUACCAUGAGUGUUUCCAUGCAAGUUUCUGAACCAAGUUCAUUGUGUUUAACUUUCAGUUCAAGAAAUACAUGGUGGCUAGCAAGGAAAAACUAGUUAGAGAAGAAGUGUUCUAUUUCAAAUCUUGAGCCCGAGCCCACUUUGACCGGCUAUUCAGUUAUGGCAGUGGUUACCAGACUGGUGUGUGGAAGCAUUUCAGGUUGGGGUGAUACAACACAUUGUGAACUGUUGAACAUACAAUUGUUGAAAGAGUUCCUUUUAAAAGACCUAAAAGAAAGUGAUAUGUUAAGUGAUUGCACUUAACAUUUCUUGCAAAGUAAUUGCACUUUAAAGUGAUAGUGUUUUAAUGAAAGUUGUUCUUAAAAUUCUUUUUGGCAGCACUGAUUUAGAAAUAUUUUGUCUGGCAAUGCCAACCAGACUGUAUAUGUUGGAACUGCUGUAAGCAAUUACCUUGUACACCAGUGUUGGCAAACAUAAUGAAGGUGCUGUUGUUUAACAGCUUCUGUUAUUUCAUUUGUAUUUUUUAAAUACUCUAAAUACUCUACCGUAAAGUAAACUUAACUUGAAAAUUUCCUGAGUAAAAAUUACAAAGAAUUUCUAUGUGGAAAUUGUUACCAAGCUUUUUAAAGUAAAUAUUACUCAAAUAUGCAAAAAUAACGACUAGGUCCAGCUUAGAAAAAACAAGUAUUUUUUAAAGCAAUUUGUAAGUAAAUGCAGUGGUAGUGUGAGUAAAAUUUACUCAUGAAAACAGAAAUUUGUUAGUAAACUUUACAAGUAUUUCUUGCUUGAACUUAAUGUUUAUUGGUAUGUAGACUUUAUUGAAAAUAUCUUCUGUUAAUUUACUAGGGAUGUCUGUGUGGAAAUUGUUAA
Thunnus maccoyii (southern bluefin tuna) is the source of this 1340-nucleotide long non-coding RNA. RefSeq lists it as uncharacterized. Lineage: Eukaryota; Metazoa; Chordata; Actinopteri; Scombriformes; Scombridae. The transcript is spliced from 3 exons. The record is from RefSeq and is a predicted model, not a curated record.